GGGGGGUGCUGUCCUGCAUCACGUGGGUCGGCGCCACGCUGAGCCCGGCAGCGCUUCCCAUAGACGGAACCCAUCGCUGCACGGGGGAGUUUUGGAUUUUUAGGGCCGUGAACGGCUCAUGACAGCGGGUUCCCCGUGACUGAGCAGUCCCCGCGCUGCUUAUGGGGCCCAGGCCAGGGUGCAGGGUGCACGCCCAGGGCCGGCUCCAGCAGGACCUGGGGACAAAGGGGAGCGCCGGAGGCUCCCGGGUCUCCUGUCUGGCGGCCCAAUUCGUCUCGCCUGAGAAGCACCCCUUGCCCACUUUCAGGCACGGCUUUCUUCCCCACCAGCCCGGGCGUCGGUGUGCUGGAAAUAGUGAUGGAAAGUAAUUUUGCUUUGCAGGACGGCAUAGUAAACCCGACAGUAAGAAAAGACUUGAAGACGGUGCCGAAAUUCUACUGCUGUCCCAUCGAGGGCUGCCCCAGAGGCCCCGACAGACCCUUCUCACAGUUCUCUCUCGUGAAACAGCACUUCAUGAAGAUGCACGCCGAGAAGAAGCACAAGUGC
RNAcentral lists this long non-coding RNA (546 nucleotides) under Cavia porcellus (domestic guinea pig). RNAcentral's name for it is "lncRNA (ENSCPOG00000033100.1)". Lineage: Eukaryota; Metazoa; Chordata; Mammalia; Rodentia; Caviidae. The record is from RNAcentral.